GAUGAACGCUGGCGGCGUGCCUAAUACAUGCAAGUCGAGCGAGCGGACGAGAAGCUUGCUUCUCUGAUGUUAGCGGCGGACGGGUGAGUAACACGUGGAUAACCUACCUAUAAGACUGGGAUAACUUCGGGAAACCGGAGCUAAUACCGGAUAAUAUUUUGAACCGCAUGGUUCAAAAGUGAAAGACGGUUUUGCUGUCACUUAUAGAUGGAUCCGCGCUGCAUUAGCUAGUUGGUAAGGUAACGGCUUACCAAGGCAACGAUGCAUAGCCGACCUGAGAGGGUGAUCGGCCACACUGGAACUGAGACACGGUCCAGACUCCUACGGGAGGCAGCAGUAGGGAAUCUUCCGCAAUGGGCGAAAGCCUGACGGAGCAACGCCGCGUGAGUGAUGAAGGUCUCCGGAUCGUAAAACUCUGUUAUUAGGGAAGAACAAAUGUGUAAGUAACUGUGCACAUCUGGACGGUACCUAAUCAGAAAGCCACGGCAAACUACGU
RNAcentral lists this ribosomal RNA (496 nucleotides) under uncultured bacterium. Its description in RNAcentral is "partial 16S ribosomal RNA". It matches the Rfam family "Bacterial small subunit ribosomal RNA", at positions 28 to 506 of the family's 1533-position model. The record is from RNAcentral.